This 341-nucleotide ribosomal RNA is filed under the name Spodoptera exempta. Its description in RNAcentral is "partial 12S ribosomal RNA". Lineage: Eukaryota; Metazoa; Arthropoda; Insecta; Lepidoptera; Noctuidae. The record is from RNAcentral.
UUAAACUAGGGAUUAGAUACCCUAUUAUUAAAAUUUAAAUAUAAAAUACUAAAAUAGUAGAUAAUUAUUUAUUGAAACUUAAAUAAUUUGGCGGUAUUUUAGUUCAUUUAGAGGAAUCUGUUUAAUAAUUGAUAAUCCACGAAUAAAUUUACUUAAUUUUUUUAUUUUGUAUAUCGUUGUUAAAAAAAUAUUUUUUAAUAAUAAAUAAUAUUUAGAAAUUUAAAUAAAAAAUUAAAUCAGAUCAAGAUGCAGAUUAUAAUUAAGAAUAUAAUGGAUUACAAUAAAUUUAUUUAAAUGAAUAUUAAUUUGUAAAAUUUAAUUGAAAGUGGAUUUAAAUGUAA